This 895-nucleotide ribosomal RNA is filed under the name uncultured bacterium. Its description in RNAcentral is "bacterial SSU rRNA". It matches the Rfam family "Bacterial small subunit ribosomal RNA", at positions 26 to 896 of the family's 1533-position model. The record is from RNAcentral.
AGAAUGAACGCUAGCGGCGUGCCUAACACAUGCAAGUCGAACGAGAAAGUGACCUUCGGGUCAUUAGUAAAGUGGCGAACGGGUGAGUAACGCGUGGGUAACCUGCCCUCGAGUGGGGGAUAACUCGGCGAAAGCCGUGCUAAUACCGCAUAACAUCCUCGAAACCUCGGUUUGGGGAUCAAAGGUGGCGAGCUUCGAGCGCUACCGCUUGAGAUGGGGCCUGCGUCCCAUUAGCUAGUUGGUGAGGUAAUGGCUCACCAAGGCACCGAUGGGUAGCCGAGCUGAGAGGCUGAUCGGCCACACUGGAACUGAGACACGGUCCAGACUCCUACGGGAGGCAGCAGUGGGGAAUUUUGCGCAAUGGGGGAAACCCUGACGCAGCGACGCCGCGUGGGCGAUGAAGGCCUUCGGGUCGUAAAGCCCUGUCAAGUGGGACGAACCGCAUGAGCUCUAAUAUAGCUCGUGUCUGACGGUACCACUGGAGGAAGCCCCGGCCAACUCCGUGCCAGCAGCCGCGGUAAUACGGGGGGGGCGAGCGUUAUUCGGAAUUAUUGGGCGUAAAGGGCGUGUAGGCGGCUUCGUAUGUCUCUUGUGAAAUCCCUCGGCUCAACCGAGGAACUGCAGGAGAAACUGCGGAGCUCGAGUCCGGGAGAGGAAAGCGGAAUUCCCAGUGUAGCGGUGAAAUGCGUAGAUAUUGGGAGGAACACCAGUGGCGAAGGCGGCUUUCUGGACCGGUACUGACGCUGAGACGCGAAAGCUAGGGGAGCGAACGGGAUUAGAUACCCCGGUAGUCCUAGCUGUAAACUUUGAACACUUGGUGUGGCGGGUAUCGACCCCUGCCGUGCCGAAGCUAACGCAUUAAGUGUUCCGCCUGGGGAGUACGGCCGCAAGGCUG